This 504-nucleotide ribosomal RNA is filed under the name uncultured bacterium. RNAcentral's name for it is "bacterial SSU rRNA". It matches the Rfam family "Bacterial small subunit ribosomal RNA", at positions 107 to 607 of the family's 1533-position model. The record is from RNAcentral.
CGAUUAAUGUCUGGGAGACUGCCUGAUGGAGGGGGAUAACUACUGGAAACGGUAGCUAAUACCGCAUAACGUCGCAAGACCAAAGAGGGGGACCUUCGGGCCUCUUGCCAUCAGAUGUGCCCAGAUGGGAUUAGCUAGUAGGUGGGGUAAUGGCUCACCUAGGCGACGAGCCCUAGCUGGUCUGAGAGGAUGACCAGCCACACUGGAACUGAGACACGGUCCAGACUCCUACGGGAGGCAGCAGUGGGGAAUAUUGCACAAUGGGCGCAAGCCUGAUGCAGCCAUGCCGCGUGUGUGAAGAAGGCCUUCGGGUUGUAAAGCACUUUCAGCGAGGAGGAAGGUGGUGAGCUUAAUACGCUCAUCAAUUGACGUUACUCGCAGAAGAAGCACCGGCUAACUCCGUGCCAGCAGCCGCGGUAAUACGGAGGGUGCAAGCGUUAAUCGGAAUUACUGGGCGUAAAGCGCACGCAGGCGGUUUGUUAAGUCAGAUGUGAAAUCCCCGGG